Molecule: ribosomal RNA, 400 nt
Filed under: uncultured bacterium
Lineage: Bacteria
Description: bacterial SSU rRNA
Rfam family: Bacterial small subunit ribosomal RNA
Source: RNAcentral
UCGGGAAUAUUGCGCAAUGGAGGAAACUCUGACGCAGUGACGCCGCGUAUAGGAAGAAGGUUUUCGGAUUGUAAACUAUUGUCGUUAGGGAAGAAAAAAGACAGUACCUAAGGAGGAAGCUCCGGCUAACUACGUGCCAGCAGCCGCGGUAAUACGUAGGGAGCGAGCGUUAUCCGGAUUUAUUGGGUGUAAAGGGUGCGUAGACGGGUCUACAAGUUAGUUGUGAAAUCCCUCGGCUCAACUGAGGAACUGCAGCUAAAACUAUAGAUCUUGAGUGCAGGAGAGGUAAGUGGAAUUCCUAGUGUAGCGGUGAAAUGCGUAGAUAUUAGGAGGAACACCAGUGGCGAAGGCGACUUACUGGACUGUAACUGACGUUGAGGCACGAAAGUGUGGGGAGCAA